This 1381-nucleotide ribosomal RNA is filed under the name Microbacterium trichothecenolyticum. RNAcentral's name for it is "bacterial SSU rRNA". It matches the Rfam family "Bacterial small subunit ribosomal RNA". Lineage: Bacteria; Bacillati; Actinomycetota; Actinomycetes; Micrococcales; Microbacteriaceae. The record is from RNAcentral.
AUGCAGUCGACGGUGGAGCCAGCUUGCUUGGUGGAUCAGUGGCGAACGGGUGAGUAACACGUGAGCAACCUGCCCUGGACUCUGGGAUAAGCGCUGGAAACGGCGUCUAAUACUGGAUAUGAGCUCUCAUCGCAUGGUGGGGGUUGGAAAGAUUUUUCGGUCUGGGAUGGGCUCGCGGCCUAUCAGCUUGUUGGUGAGGUAAUGGCUCACCAAGGCGUCGACGGGUAGCCGGCCUGAGAGGGUGACCGGCCACACUGGGACUGAGACACGGCCCAGACUCCUACGGGAGGCAGCAGUGGGGAAUAUUGCACAAUGGGCGGAAGCCUGAUGCAGCAACGCCGCGUGAGGGAUGACGGCCUUCGGGUUGUAAACCUCUUUUAGCAGGGAAGAAGCGAGAGUGACGGUACCUGCAGAAAAAGCGCCGGCUAACUACGUGCCAGCAGCCGCGGUAAUACGUAGGGCGCAAGCGUUAUCCGGAAUUAUUGGGCGUAAAGAGCUCGUAGGCGGUUUGUCGCGUCUGCUGUGAAAUCCCGAGGCUCAACCUCGGGCCUGCAGUGGGUACGGGCAGACUAGAGUGCGGUAGGGGAGAUUGGAAUUCCUGGUGUAGCGGUGGAAUGCGCAGAUAUCAGGAGGAACACCGAUGGCGAAGGCAGAUCUCUGGGCCGUAACUGACGCUGAGGAGCGAAAGGGUGGGGAGCAAACAGGCUUAGAUACCCUGGUAGUCCACCCCGUAAACGUUGGGAACUAGUUGUGGGGACCAUUCCACGGUUUCCGUGACGCAGCUAACGCAUUAAGUUCCCCGCCUGGGGAGUACGGCCGCAAGGCUAAAACUCAAAGGAAUUGACGGGGACCCGCACAAGCGGCGGAGCAUGCGGAUUAAUUCGAUGCAACGCGAAGAACCUUACCAAGGCUUGACAUACACCAGAACACCGUAGAAAUACGGGACUCUUUGGACACUGGUGAACAGGUGGUGCAUGGUUGUCGUCAGCUCGUGUCGUGAGAUGUUGGGUUAAGUCCCGCAACGAGCGCAACCCUCGUUCUAUGUUGCCAGCACGUAAUGGUGGGAACUCAUGGGAUACUGCCGGGGUCAACUCGGAGGAAGGUGGGGAUGACGUCAAAUCAUCAUGCCCCUUAUGUCUUGGGCUUCACGCAUGCUACAAUGGCCGGUACAAAGGGCUGCAAUACCGUGAGGUGGAGCGAAUCCCAAAAAGCCGGUCCCAGUUCGGAUUGAGGUCUGCAACUCGACCUCAUGAAGUCGGAGUCGCUAGUAAUCGCAGAUCAGCAACGCUGCGGUGAAUACGUUCCCGGGUCUUGUACACACCGCCCGUCAAGUCAUGAAAGUCGGUAACACCUGAAGCCGGGGCCCAACCCUGUGGAGGGA